Long non-coding RNA from Osmia bicornis bicornis, 795 nucleotides. RefSeq lists it as uncharacterized. NCBI's taxonomy places the organism in Eukaryota, Metazoa, Arthropoda, Insecta, Hymenoptera, Megachilidae. The transcript has 5 exons. The record is from RefSeq and is a predicted model, not a curated record.
AGUACGUAUAAUUCCUAUGUCUGACGGUGAUAAAGAGUCCAGACUAUAAUGACGAGGAGGGUACACCGAUGAAUCCAUCCAUGGGAUAACUGCGUGCAAUCAGAUAUUGUCUUAAUAGAAACGAAAUUCAAUCGAUAACGAAGGUAUUUACACGACCAUUCGCAAUUAUAAACCAUCGCGUAGAGGGCUGUUAUUACCGUUUGCGACGCUCGUUUUCCCAAAGGGACAACAGAGUUAACACAUCCUCCGGAUCGAUAUCCAAUUCCCUCUUGAAUCGUGGUUCUUGAUAAAUUGGAACGCUGAAAGUUUCAAGUUGGACAACUCGUAUCAAUCACCCAAUAACCAUCGCCCACGAUUAACGCAGACAAAUUAUCUGGGACUUAAAGGAGACACUAUUACCAGGUAAUAGAGGUGGAGAUGAUGAAUUUGAAAGAGGUCUAUAAAUGAUUUGGAUGGGAGCAGAACAUGCUCCGCUGAUCAACUUCGAUAACGACGUCGUAUUGAACCGACUUGGUCGUCAAGUCGACCGCCGUUUCUGCCGAGGGCAACGCCCUCGCCAACCCUCUCAUCCCCAUUCAGAAGAAAUGUCGAAGAAAAAGAGGGAUGUCCCGCACGAGCAAGAGGGCGGGAAAGGCGUGCUCGCAGGGGUGGGAAUUACAGCCGGGUUACAGAGUCGAUUCACCCUGUCGCAGGCUGCCUGUUCCACAGAAUGCAUGCGUUUAUCACUCACCUUCUCUUCGCCUGUGUCUGUGACGCGGACUGCUGAGUGGAUGUCGAGGAUUGGAACGACGAGGU